GAGCGGUAGAGAGAAGCUUGCUUCUCUUGAGAGCGGCGGACGGGUGAGUAAUGCCUAGGAAUCUGCCUGGUAGUGGGGGAUAACGUUCGGAAACGGACGCUAAUACCGCAUACGUCCUACGGGAGAAAGCAGGGGACCUUCGGGCCUUGCGCUAUCAGAUGAGCCUAGGUCGGAUUAGCUAGUUGGUGAGGUAAUGGCUCACCAAGGCGACGAUCCGUAACUGGUCUGAGAGGAUGAUCAGUCACACUGGAACUGAGACACGGUCCAGACUCCUACGGGAGGCAGCAGUGGGGAAUAUUGGACAAUGGGCGAAAGCCUGAUCCAGCCAUGCCGCGUGUGUGAAGAAGGUCUUCGGAUUGUAAAGCACUUUAAGUUGGGAGGAAGGGCAUUAACUUAAUACGUUAGUGUUUUGACGUUACCGACAGAAUAAGCACCGGCU
This 439-nucleotide ribosomal RNA is filed under the name uncultured bacterium. RNAcentral describes it as "bacterial SSU rRNA". It matches the Rfam family "Bacterial small subunit ribosomal RNA", at positions 64 to 498 of the family's 1533-position model. The record is from RNAcentral.